Non-coding RNA from Pelodiscus sinensis (Chinese soft-shelled turtle), 879 nucleotides. The record is from RefSeq and is a predicted model, not a curated record. NCBI's taxonomy places the organism in Eukaryota, Metazoa, Chordata, Testudines, Trionychidae.
GUUUAUUGAGUGAUUGGGGUGGCUCUAGGUCGAUCUGAAUUAAAGUCGACCCAUUUCGCAGUGUAGACAAGUUCUGAAAUUCCCCACGGCACAUGAUGGGGCACAUACGACCCUAAUGUGCCCUGUCCUGUUGUUAAGGGUUUCAUGAUGCGCUACGCUGGCCAUGUCGAGCACUGGAUUGGCCUCCGAGGAGAAUCCGGCCAGCCCCGGACAUGGGUGAAUGGGACCCAACUGAAACAGCAGCUGUGUGAGGAAAGAGGGGAAGGGGACUGCUCCUAUUUGAGCCAUGGCUUUGUGCGUUCUUCAGGUUGCUCCUCGUUGAGAAACUGGAUCUGCAGCACACCUGACAGAUACUUAUAGGGAAAGGAAAAAUGCAAGUGUGAUAUAGUCCAUGAGUGUGUGCUUAUAUGAUUGUCUUAACUGGGCUAUGCUUUAUGCAAGGUGUGUCCAAACACAUGAUUCUAAAUAUUGCCAUUUACUCAAUAUGACUACUCUGUUUGUAUGGAGGCAUCAUUUUUGCAGCGAAACUUCGGAAUAUGGCCCUGUGGAGUUUUAUUUUGUGUUCCAUUCUUGUUGCUUUCACUGCUUUUACCUCAGGGACUACAAUAGGCAUCCGGACAGCUUAAUGUCCCAUCAGUGAGAAUAUUUAAUUGUGAACAGGCCUUCUUGUGGGCAUGCUAUGCAGGAAAAACAGCACAGCAGCCCAACGCUGGGGCAUAUGAAAAUGCAAAAAGGGAGCUAUGCAAAAAUGAGGAGGUUAGUUAAACAGAAAUUACAAGGUACUGGGCAAAAAGCAAAAUCUCUGCAAGCUGCAUGGAAACUUUCUAAAGACACCAUAAUAGGAGCUCAAAUUUGGGGAGUACCUGCAUGUUUAAAACU